This is a long non-coding RNA of Tripterygium wilfordii, 893 nucleotides long. RefSeq lists it as uncharacterized. NCBI's taxonomy places the organism in Eukaryota, Viridiplantae, Streptophyta, Magnoliopsida, Celastrales, Celastraceae. The record is from RefSeq and is a predicted model, not a curated record. The transcript has 6 exons.
GUGGUUCUGGCCUUCUAGGUUUGUGAUCUGGAUCAAAAUCAGAAUAAAGGAGUGAUUCCUUAUAAAGUUGGUCCCGAAGUUAGCUUUUUGGAGGGAAUCAUUUGCAUUAUUUGUGAACUUCUCCCUUAUUUUCUUGAGCACCCAGUGCCAUAAUUCUGUAAAAUCAGCCCCCUAAUUUUUUCCGUCCUGCUUCGCUUGAAGAAAAGCAUAAGAUUACAGAAACAUCUUACUUAGGCUGCCUCAUGUUCAUGAUUGUGUUAGCAAUGCAGGAACCAUCGGAUUGGACAACCAUCUUUUUCAUGGAACUUUAUUUACCACCCAAGUUGGUGUUGAUGUUCUAUUAAAGUCAAAUAGACCAUCGCUUAUUGUUAGCAGUGCAAGCUGGUGAGUUUCAUCUGUUCAUUGAUUUGCUUUUCUUCAAAAAUAAAUGCUUUUCUUUGCUCCCACCAUUUCCCUUUUUUAACAUGAUUUUCAUUGCAGGUCCGGGAUUGGUCUCUUCUCUAAGAUCUCCAUUUGGCACCUUUGAUUUGAUUUUUGUUUCUACAAUCGUUUCAAUUAAUAUGGAGUUUCCUAAUUUGGCCGUUGCUACAAUUCCAGGCAUUCAAUAUUUGUGGGUGGCCGAUUUCCCAUGUUUGAAUGGAAUGAUCCACAACAAAGAUGUGAGGUUUAUCUCAUCUCAUAUCUUCUGCAACGUUGAUAAAAUAACUUUCUGGCUUUCUGCUUAUUGAACACUUUAUAAGGAUUCUUUUUGGAAGAGAAGGUACAUCAGUCAAGCAUAAAGAUUUACAAUGAUUUUCUUUUACCUAUUUACGGUGUGGUAAACAUUGGUACUUAGAAGGGUCUGUCAUUGCACUGCUUCUUUUAGAAGUUGAUAUUUUUCCUGACGUUGGAAC